Molecule: ribosomal RNA, 530 nt
Filed under: Macrobrachium placidulum
Lineage: Eukaryota; Metazoa; Arthropoda; Malacostraca; Decapoda; Palaemonidae
Description: partial 16S ribosomal RNA
Rfam family: Bacterial large subunit ribosomal RNA
Source: RNAcentral
UACAAAAACAUGUCUGUGUGAAUUUAGUUAUAAAGUCUAGCCUGCCCACUGAUUUAUUUAAAGGGCCGCGGUAAUUUGACCGUGCGAAGGUAGCAUAGUCAGUAGUCUUUUAAUUGGAGGCUUGAAUGAAUGGUUGGACGAGGGACAAGCUGUCUUUUGUAUGUAUUUUGAACUUAACUUUUGAGUGAAAAGGCUCAAAUUAUUUAGGGGGACGAUAAGACCCUAUAAAACUUUAUAUAAGUUUGGUUUAGUCUAUGAUUUAGGUAAAAAGUGGUUUUGUCUGGUUUAUAUUUCGUUGGGGAGAUGAGGAUAUAAAAUGUAACUGUCUGUUUAAAUUUAAUAGUUUUAAUUAGUUUGUGAUCCCCCUUUGGGGAUUAAAAGAGUAAGUUACUUUAGGGAUAACAGCGUGAUUUUCUUUGAGAGUUCUUAUCGACAAGAGUAGUUGCGACCUCGAUGUUGAAUUAAAGUUUCAGCUAGGUGUAGCCGCUUAGCUAGUGGGUCUGUUCGACCUUUAAAACUUUACGUGAUCU